RNAcentral lists this long non-coding RNA (375 nucleotides) under Mytilus galloprovincialis (Mediterranean mussel). The record is from RNAcentral. Lineage: Eukaryota; Metazoa; Mollusca; Bivalvia; Mytilida; Mytilidae.
AUAGAUUCUACCAACUUGUUAGAUUACUGUUUGAUACAUAGUUGUUUUAUAAUCAAUAGUAAUAGCUAGGAAUGUGCACAUGUACUUUACACAUCGGACAUUUGUCCUUCAAAUUGCAAGAAUUUCAAAAUAGCACCUAUCAUAUCAAUUAUUUGCUGUAAUAAGUAAAAUUGAGAAUGGAAAUGGGGAAUGUGUCAAAGAGCCAAAAACCCGACCAUGGUACAAACAAAAGCCGAAAGCCACCAAUGGGUACUUGGAAAUAACUCCAAUCUGUAAUAUGUAAAACAGUUAUUUUCACGAAAGUGUAAUUAAAACAAAAAGAAGUCUAAAAGUAGAUAGCAAUCAUUUGGCAAACAUAUAUUUCGAAUGAAGAAG